This 75-nucleotide transfer RNA is filed under the name archaeon. RNAcentral describes it as "tRNA-Arg". It matches the Rfam family "tRNA". From Rfam's summary of the family: Transfer RNA (tRNA) molecules are approximately 80 nucleotides in length. RNAcentral also lists the same sequence under 1 other name. The record is from RNAcentral.
GUCCCUGUGGCGCAACUUGGAUAGCGCGGCAGCCCCCUAAGCUGUAGGUUGCAGGUUCAAAUCCUGCCAGGGACG